AGCAGCCGCGGUAAUUCCAGCUCCAAUAGCGUAUAUUAAAGUUGUUGCCGUUAAAAAGCUCGUAGUUGAACCUUGGGCCUGGCUGACCUGUCCUCCUAAUCGAGCGCACGGGUUCGGUCGGGCCUUUCCUUCUGGGGAUCCCGAUGCCCUUCACUGGGCGUCGUGGGAACCAGGACUUUUACCUUGAAAAAAUUAGAGUGUUCAAAGCAGGCCUUUGCUCGAAUACAUUAGCAUGGAAUAAUAGAAUAGGACAGAGGUUCUAUUUUGUUGGUUUCUAGGACCGCUGUAAUGAUUAAUAGGGAUAGUCGGGGGCGUCCGUAUUCAAUUGUCAGAGGUGAAAUUCUUGGAUUUAUUGAAGACGAACUACUGCGAAAGCAUUCGCCAAGGAUGUUUUCAUUAAUCAGUGAACGAAAGUUAGGGGAUCGAAGACGAUCAGAUACCGUCGUAGUCUUAACCAUAAACUAUG
Molecule: ribosomal RNA, 466 nt
Filed under: uncultured fungus
Lineage: Eukaryota; Fungi
Description: SSU rRNA
Rfam family: Eukaryotic small subunit ribosomal RNA
Source: RNAcentral